This 301-nucleotide ribosomal RNA is filed under the name uncultured bacterium. Its description in RNAcentral is "partial 16S ribosomal RNA". It matches the Rfam family "Bacterial small subunit ribosomal RNA", at positions 509 to 807 of the family's 1533-position model. The record is from RNAcentral.
CAGCCGCCGCGGUAAUACAGAGGGUGCAAGCGUUAAUCGGAAUUACUGGGCGUAAAGCGCGCGUAGGUGGUUUGUUAAGUUGGAUGUGAAAUCCCCGGGCUCAACCUGGGAACUGCAUUCAAAACUGACUGACUAGAGUAUGGUAGAGGGUGGUGGAAUUUCCUGUGUAGCGGUGAAAUGCGUAGAUAUAGGAAGGAACACCAGUGGCGAAGGCGACCACCUGGACUAAUACUGACACUGAGGUGCGAAAGCGUGGGGAGCAAACAGGAUUAGAUACCCCGGUAGUCCCUGUCUCUUAUAC